AACCGGAGGAAAAAAGCUUGAUACAAUAAGCUAACAAUUUAAAAGUUAGGUUUGAUAGGAUUUCUAUCAAGGAGGGAGUUGACCAUUUAGAUGGAGCUUGCGAUUAUAGUUACAACAGGACGAGGUAAUUCUUUAUCAUGAUAUCCUGUUGUUUUAUAAGUUAACCUAUUACUUGCAUUGCCGAUGAGAUUGCUAACGGAUUGCAGGUAGCCGGAAGGGAUCUCCGUAUUGGCCCAAACAUAUGGCGAGCUAUCAAAAGAGGUGGAAGAGUUAAAGGAGAAUGACGAGAAUAGAGGCCAAUAUGCUACGUUUUGGAAUGAAUUUUGCAAAACGAUUAAACUUGGUAUCAUUGAGGAUGCAGUAACAGGAACCGUUAUUUGAGAUGUUGCUUCUGAAUGUAGCAAAUCACUAUCUUCAUAUCAUACUUCUAAUAUUAUGACUGCAAAAUAUUUUGCAAUACACCAUUGCUUUUGUGAGUAUAUUUAAUUAUUGUAAUUUCAAUAAAUGUUUACUCUUUUGUGGUAACAAUUAUACAUUUUAGAUUUGGGUUUUUGCACAUUUGUUGGUCGAUCCACAACAAGUAUUAGUGAUCUUUGUUACAAUUGCUUUGUGUCCUUAAUGGGUAAAAUGCGUCAAACAAAAACAAUAGCUACUAGGUAGUGGGUUGUUAACUGAAGCAACGGGUAGUGUAUGGAGACUGAAGAAAUCGAAUUCGGGGUUGUUUGGACACGAGCCAACGGCCGGUCAACUCUGGUCGAACAUAGUGGAGCGGGUCAAUGGGUCGUCAACAACACAGUUUACGCGGGGAAGGUUUCAAUUUACACAAUAAAUGCACAAAGAGGUAUAAACACAAACCCUACAAUUUAAUUAACUACUUG
RNAcentral lists this long non-coding RNA (878 nucleotides) under Helianthus annuus (common sunflower). Lineage: Eukaryota; Viridiplantae; Streptophyta; Magnoliopsida; Asterales; Asteraceae. The record is from RNAcentral.